RNAcentral lists this long non-coding RNA (211 nucleotides) under Panicum hallii. RNAcentral describes it as "long non-coding RNA (PHAL_LNC000003)". The record is from RNAcentral. Lineage: Eukaryota; Viridiplantae; Streptophyta; Magnoliopsida; Poales; Poaceae.
CACCGCUUAUUCGAGUUAGUACAGGAAAAAGAGCCAGAUAAAAUUACGAAUUUUCGUAAACAUGGUUUUUCUAUUUAGUCGGUUCGAGCACGCUCAUUAAACUAAAGAGUUCAUUUUCCUAUUUCCUCAUUCAAGCACUAGAAAAACAAGAGGAAUUUCAAGCCCCGAAGGAAAGAUGAUGGAAACAAUGCACAUCGACCAAGUAGCGACC